CCUACGGGUGACUGCAGUGAGGAAUAUUGGUCAAUGGGAGAGAGCCUGAACCAGCCAAGCCGCGUGAAGGAAGACAGCCCUAUGGGUUGUAAACCUCUUUUAUCGGGGAACAAAACCCGGGACGUGUCCCGUACUGCGUGUAUCCGAAGAAAAAGCAUCGGCUAACUCCGUGCCAGCAGCCGCGGUAAUACGGAGGAUGCGAGCGUUAUCCGGAUUUAUUGGGUUUAAAGGGUGCGUAGGCGGUCCGUUAAGUCAGCGGUAAAAUUGCGGGGCUCAACCCCGUCGGGCCGUUGAAACUGGGAGACUUGAGUUGGCGAGAAGUACGUGGAAUGCGUGGUGUAGCGGUGAAAUGCAUAGAUAUCGCGCAGAACUCCGAUUGCGAAGGCAGCGUACCGGCGCCAGACUGACGCUGAGGCACGAAAGCGUGGGGAUCGAACAGGAUUAGAUACCCUUGUAGUC
This 459-nucleotide ribosomal RNA is filed under the name uncultured bacterium. RNAcentral's name for it is "partial 16S ribosomal RNA". It matches the Rfam family "Bacterial small subunit ribosomal RNA", at positions 338 to 795 of the family's 1533-position model. The record is from RNAcentral.